RNAcentral lists this ribosomal RNA (222 nucleotides) under uncultured bacterium. RNAcentral describes it as "partial 16S ribosomal RNA". It matches the Rfam family "Bacterial small subunit ribosomal RNA", at positions 524 to 742 of the family's 1533-position model. The record is from RNAcentral.
UACGAAGGGGGCUAGCGUUGCUCGGAAUUACUGGGCGUAAAGCGCACGUAGGCGGCUUUCUAAGUCGGAGGUGAAAUCCUGGAGCUCAACUCCAGAACUGCCUUCGAUACUGGCGAUCUUGAGUCCGGAAGAGGUGAGUGGAACUCCUAGUGUAGAGGUGGAAAUUCGUAGAUAUUAGGAAGAAACACCAGUGGCGAAGGGCGGCUCACUGGUCCGGUACUG